RNAcentral lists this ribosomal RNA (118 nucleotides) under Periophthalmus magnuspinnatus. Lineage: Eukaryota; Metazoa; Chordata; Actinopteri; Gobiiformes; Gobiidae. The record is from RNAcentral.
UAUUAGUUCAAUACCAUUUGAGAAUUCCUAACUCUGUCUGAUCUCGGAAGCUAAGCACGGGAUGGGCCUGGUUAGUACUUGAAUAGGAGACUGCUGGGAAAACCAGGUGCAGCAGUAG